This 460-nucleotide ribosomal RNA is filed under the name uncultured bacterium. RNAcentral's name for it is "partial 16S ribosomal RNA". It matches the Rfam family "Bacterial small subunit ribosomal RNA", at positions 338 to 795 of the family's 1533-position model. The record is from RNAcentral.
CCUACGGGAGGCUGCAGUGAGGAAUAUUGGUCAAUGGACGCGAGUCUGAACCAGCCAAGCCGCGUGAAGGAAGACUGCUCUAUGAGUUGUAAACUGCUUUUGUACAGGGAUAAACUCAGAUACGCGUACCUUUCUGAAAGUAUCUUACGAAUAAGGAUCGGCUAACUCCGUGCCAGCAGCCGCGGUAAUACGGAGGAUUCAAGCGUUAUCCGGAUUUAUUGGGUUUAAAGGGUGCGUAGGCGGGUGGUUAAGUUAGAGGUGAAAUUCCGAGGCUCAACAUUGGAAUUGCCAUUGAUACUGGUCGUCUAGAGAGUAGUUGCGGUAGGCGGAAUUUAUGGUGUAGCGGUGAAAUGCUUAGAGAUCAUACAGAACACCGAUUGCGAAGGCAGCUUACCAAGCUACCACUGACAUUGAGGCACGAAAGCGUGGGUAUCAAACAGGAUUAGAUACCCGAGUAGUC